Molecule: ribosomal RNA, 460 nt
Filed under: uncultured bacterium
Lineage: Bacteria
Description: partial 16S ribosomal RNA
Rfam family: Bacterial small subunit ribosomal RNA
Source: RNAcentral
CCUACGGGAGGCAGCAGUGAGGAAUAUUGGUCAAUGGGCGUAAGCCUGAACCAGCCAAGUCGCGUGAGGGAUGAAGGUUCUAUGGAUCGUAAACCUCUUUUAUAAUGGAAUAAAGUGUGGGACGUGUCCUAUUUUGUAUGUACCUUAUGAAUAAGGACCGGCUAAUUCCGUGCCAGCAGCCGCGGUAAUACGGAGGAUCCGAGCGUUAUCCGGAUUUAUUGGGGUUAAAGGGUGCGUAGGCGGCAUUUUAAGCCAGCGGUGAAAGGCUGGGGCUCAACCAUGGAAUUGCCGUUGAAACUGGGGGGCUUGAGUAUGUUGAAGGCAGGCGGAAUGCGUGGUGUAGCGGUGAAAUGCUUAGAUAUCACGCAGAACCCCGAUUGCGAAGGCAGCAUGCCAAGCCAUGACUGACGCUGAUGCACGAAAGCGUGGGGAUCAAACAGGAUUAGAUACCCUUGUAGUC